GUGCUUGCUUCGGCAGCACAUAUACUAAAAUUGGAACAAUACAGAGAAGAUAACCACGGCCCCUGCGCAAGGAUGACAUGCAAAUUCAUGAAGCGUUCCAUAUUUUU
This 107-nucleotide small nuclear RNA is filed under the name Jaculus jaculus (lesser Egyptian jerboa). Lineage: Eukaryota; Metazoa; Chordata; Mammalia; Rodentia; Dipodidae. The record is from RNAcentral.